AAUCAACGCUGGCGGCGUGCCUAACACAUGCAAGUCGAGCGAGAAAGUGGAGCAAUCCAUGAGUAAAGCGGCGACCGGGUGAGUAACACGUGACUAACCUACCUUCGAGUGGGGAAUAACUCCGGGAAACCGGGGCUAAUACCGCAUAACAUCGAAAGAUCAAAGCAGCAAUGCGCUUGAAGAGGGGGUCGCGGCUGAUCAGCUAGUUGGCGGGGUAAUGGCCCACCAAGGCGAAGAUCGGUAUCCGGCCUGAGAGGGCGCACGGACACACUGGAACUGAAACACGGUCCAGACUCCUACGGGAGGCAGCAGUGGGGAAUUUUGCGCAAUGGGGGAAACCCUGACGCAGCAACGCCGCGUGGAGGAUGAAGCCCCUUGGGGCGUAAACUCCUUUCGACCAAGACGAUAAUGACGGUACUGGUGGAAGAAGCACCGGCUAACUCUGUGCCAGCAGCCGCGGU
Molecule: ribosomal RNA, 461 nt
Filed under: uncultured bacterium
Lineage: Bacteria
Description: bacterial SSU rRNA
Rfam family: Bacterial small subunit ribosomal RNA
Source: RNAcentral